GGUGCCAAAUCAAACAAUUCUACAUAGAUCUUUUUCUGUCUUCUAGCCAAAAGAUAAAUUUGUUGCCAAGGGGCUCCAAUUGGGACCAUUGAAGGUAGAGAUGAACUGCUCAUUAUACUCUUACNNNNNNNNCCAUGCAGUUGCUCUUCUCUUGUUUUGACAUAUUCGCAAGUCUGGGUAUGUGCAAAACCCACAUCAUACAUAGGAGAAUAGCACACAUCAUCUGAAAUUGGCAAUGCUUUGCCUAGGAAUCUUGAAGAGAGAGAUUUAAAGAAGGCUAGCAAGUUUAAUAUGAGUUCCUGGUCAAGCUCAAGGCGAAAAUC
Molecule: unclassified non-coding RNA, 323 nt
Filed under: Hevea brasiliensis (rubber tree)
Lineage: Eukaryota; Viridiplantae; Streptophyta; Magnoliopsida; Malpighiales; Euphorbiaceae
Source: RNAcentral